GUGUCAGCCGCCGCGGUAAUACGGAGGAUCCGAGCGUUAUCCGGAUUUAUUGGGUUUAAAGGGAGCGUAGGUGGAUAUAUAAGUCAGUUGUGAAAGUUUGCGGCUCAACCGUAAAAUUGCAGUUGAUACUGUAUGUCUUGAGUGUACAAGAGGUGGGCGGAAUUCGUGGUGUAGCGGUGAAAUGCUUAGAUAUCACGAAGAACUCCGAUUGCGAAGGCAGCUCACUAGGGUACAACUGACACUGAGGCUCGAAAGUGUGGGUAUCAAACAGGAUUAGAUACCCUGGUAGUCCACACAGUAAACGAUGAAUACUCGCUGUUUGCGAUAUACAGUAAGCGGCCAAGCGAAAGCAUUAAGUAUUCCACCUGGGGAGUACGCCGGCAACGGUGAA
RNAcentral lists this ribosomal RNA (391 nucleotides) under uncultured bacterium. RNAcentral describes it as "bacterial SSU rRNA". It matches the Rfam family "Bacterial small subunit ribosomal RNA", at positions 505 to 898 of the family's 1533-position model. The record is from RNAcentral.